CCUACGGGUGGCAGCAGUGAGGAAUAUUGGUCAAUGGCCGGAAGGCUGAACCAGCCAUGCCGCGUGAAGGUUAGUGCCCUAUGGGCGCUUAACUUCUUUUUUUCUGGAGCAAUAAUGGCCACGUGUGGCCAGACUAGAUUUCCGUACGAAUAAGCAUCGGCUAACGCCGUUCCAGCAGCCGCGGUAAUACGGGGGUGUCAGGGUUUUCCGGGUUUUUUGGGUUUUAAGGGUGCGUACGCUGUGAGGUUAGUUAGCGGUGUAAUGCCCCCGCUCAAAGGGGUGAAGUGCCAUUGAUACUGCCUUGCUGGAAUGCGGAUGACGUGGGAGGAAUGUGUGGUGUAGCGGUGAAAUGCAUAGAUAUCACACAGAACACCGAUUGCGAAGGCAUCUCACGAAUCCGCGAUUGACGCUGAUGCACGAAAGCGUGGGUAUCAAACAGGAUUAGAUACCCGAGUAGUC
Molecule: ribosomal RNA, 459 nt
Filed under: uncultured bacterium
Lineage: Bacteria
Description: partial 16S ribosomal RNA
Rfam family: Bacterial small subunit ribosomal RNA
Source: RNAcentral